AUGUUGAAGGGAGGAGUCAUGUCAGAUGUUGAGCUCCUUCAGUCCUCCUCAGAAGUAAAGCACAUUGGAGAGAGUGUGAAGAUGUCCUGUGUAGGAUCUGGAUAUACAUUCAGCAACUACUAUAUAAGCUGGGUUCAACAAGUCCCAGGGAGAGGACUGACAUGGAUUGGGAGGAUUUAUCCUUAUAAUGGAGCAACAGAUUAUUCCUCUUCAUAUCAGGGAAGAUUCAUCAUAACAUCUGAUAAGUCCAUAAACACUGCAUAUCUACAGAUAGACAAUGUGAAAGUGGAAGACACGGCCACUUAUUACUGUGCUAGAGACACAGUGAUCUCAGGAUGGCUCCUGUCAUACAAAAACAUCCAGUUGUGGUGCUUCCUCUUACCAGCUGCUGCAGAAUAUUUUCAGUGA
Molecule: non-coding RNA, 408 nt
Organism: Nanorana parkeri
Lineage: Eukaryota; Metazoa; Chordata; Amphibia; Anura; Dicroglossidae
Source: the annotation of a RefSeq genome assembly